Molecule: ribosomal RNA, 253 nt
Filed under: uncultured bacterium
Lineage: Bacteria
Description: partial 16S ribosomal RNA
Rfam family: Bacterial small subunit ribosomal RNA
Source: RNAcentral
UACGAAGGUGGCAAGCGUUGUUCGGAUUUACUGGGCGUACAGGGAGCGUAGGCGGUUGGGUAAGCCCUCCGUGAAAUCUCCGGGCCUAACCCGGAAAGGGCGGAGGGGACUGCUCGGCUAGAGGAUGGGAGAGGAGCGCGGAAUUCCCGGUGUAGCGGUGAAAUGCGUAGAGAUCGGGAGGAAGGCCGGUGGCGAAGGCGGCGCUCUGGAACAUUUCUGACGCUGAGGCUCGAAAGCGCGGGGAGCAAACAGG